RNAcentral lists this long non-coding RNA (648 nucleotides) under Glycine max (soybean). RNAcentral's name for it is "long non-coding RNA (GMAX_LNC001415)". The record is from RNAcentral. Lineage: Eukaryota; Viridiplantae; Streptophyta; Magnoliopsida; Fabales; Fabaceae.
AUCAAAGAUACUUUAUACCUUAUGAAUACAAAAAUAAGAUAAUAAAUAAAUUUUAAUCCACUAAAUAUCAAGUAUAAAUAUAAAAACAUAUUAAAGAAUCAGAGUCAAAGAUUAAAAAGAUAAUAGUGGUUCGUGCCCCGUCCCAUUGUCAUAUUUAUUCGGGACGGGGGGUUAUAUGGUAGGGGGGGCAGAAGUGUGUGGGUUAUAUGGUAGGGGGGCAGAAGUGUUAAAUUUUGGUGGGGAAAUGAGUAACUGCGAGAUAAAAAGUUGAGUUAGAAAGUGAAAAAAUUGAACAUAUUUAUGAUUUAUUGAUGUAAAUUUCUCUUACAUUUACUUUCCUUGAUUUUCGAACAAUGUGAUUGAAAUCAGGUUGAGAUGCAGCGGUAUUGGGCACCACGAGCACGUGAAAUGAAAGCGAAAGGUGCAGUGACGCACGGAGGUAGAUAGAUAAAUGGGAUAAUACAAGUGCUAUGUGGGGUACCCAUGCAUAUAUGACUUGGGUACUAGACAACUACUAAGAUCAAUGAAUCAAUUUAUAUGUGAGUGACCAGUGAUAUUUCAAUGCUUAUUUAUUUUAACUAUUUAAACAUUUAUCAUGUUUAUAUUUUUUCACUUUUUUAAGAAAAAAUCAAUGAAUUAAAUUAUGGG